GGCAAAGGAAAUCUCCUUGGUUCUGAAUGUUAAGAAGUCUCUGCUACAGAGAAUAGCAAGGUGUACUGGUGCUUCUGUAACUCCAUCAAUUGAUAAAUUGUUUACUACACGUUUGGGACAGUGUGAACUCUUCCGCAUAGAAAAAGUAUCUGAAGACCUCUAACAAGCUAAAACAUCCCCAAAAGAAGCCAUCUAAAACCUUAAUGUUCUUCGAAGGUUGUCCAAGGCGUUUUGGUUGCACGGUACUGCUGAAGGGUUCUUGUCGUGAAGAACUAAGGAAAGUUAAGCAUGUUGUUCAGUGUGCAGUUUUUGCAGCAUAUCAUUUGUCCUUGGAAACUUCUUUCCUCGAAGAUGAGGUUGCUAGCUUACCUAAACCAACUUCAGAGAUCUUCAUUUUCAAUACUUGAAAGGGUGAUAGUCAUCAGAGCAUACUGGAUCUUUUUCAAGUCGCCAUGUCCUUGAUGGAACAAUCUAAUGUUCUCGAUUCUUGCACAUUAAGUCCUAUGGUUCUUUUGACAAGCCACUUGGAAGGUAUCUUCAAGAAGAUCUGUUUGAUCAGACAUCCUGAUGUAAAUCAUGCAAAGAGCCGGCUGAUGGCCACAUAGUUUGCUAUACUCACCAGCAGGCACGGUUAGACUGCCCGGAGAAUGAGAUGGAAAAAUUUGGAUGUGGCACCGAUGCCUCAGAUUUACACAUGUAGAUGGGUUCCUCAGCAAUUUAGCAAAGAUAGUUCAGAACUAGUCCCAGUGACAAUGGAUGUGUUUUUUUAUCUUAACUGAGACAAUCACUCCUGAUUGUUUCACAUGAUUGAGAGCACCGGCUUAGUUCAUUAGAUUCUCUCGUUAGCUCCAACGCAGUGUUACAAGAUUUGAGAAGUGUUUCGUCUAAUAUGAUCAGUCUUUCCUACGACCGUGAUAAUGAUAGUGUCUCUGAUCUGGUUUUGAAAUUGCCAGAUUUCCUCCAGAAAGAUAUACCAUACACACAAGACAGAGAGCCCGAAACAUCACUAGUUGAUUCUGGUAUUCCUAAAGUUUACAUGGAUGGGGAACCUACAGUCCAGAAGACACCCUUGGAUCAUGCUCCCUCAGCUGCAUCUGAAUUGUCUGAUAAAAUUGAUUCUGUAUGGAAUGGUACAACAGACAGUCCGUCGAAAUUGCCUUCAAGGAGAUUGCUAUCACCAGCAAGACUUCAAUCAAUUGAUUCUGCUACAAGUAUCCAACAAAAGCCCUUAUCAAUUCAUUUAUUACCAAUUAGAUCUUCUCACGCCUCUGGGGACUAUGCAAACAUGUCUAGAGAUCCCUUGGCUAAUGUACAGAGGACUUAUUCUCCAAUGUCAUGUCACUCUUGUUCCAAUCUAAUUCACAUCAAUAACA
Molecule: long non-coding RNA, 1373 nt
Organism: Daucus carota subsp. sativus
Lineage: Eukaryota; Viridiplantae; Streptophyta; Magnoliopsida; Apiales; Apiaceae
Exons: 4
Source: RefSeq, a predicted model, not a curated record